Molecule: ribosomal RNA, 253 nt
Filed under: uncultured bacterium
Lineage: Bacteria
Description: partial 16S ribosomal RNA
Rfam family: Bacterial small subunit ribosomal RNA
Source: RNAcentral
UACGUAGGGUGCGAGCGUUGUUCGGAAUUACUGGGCGUAAAGCGCGCGUAGGCGGACCUGCAAGUCGGGGGGGAAAGCCCGAGGCUCAACCUCGGAACUGCCUUCGAUACUGCGGGUCUCGAGUCCGGGAGAGGUGAGUGGAAUUCCUAGUGUAGAGGUGAAAUUCGUAGAUAUUAGGAAGAACACCAGUGGCGAAGGCGGCUCACUGGCUCGGUACUGACGCUGAGGAGCGAAAGCGUGGGGAGCAAACAGG